AUGUCGCAUAUUUCCACUAUCUACAUGUUGUGGAGAUGGGCUAAAGGCGUACAUAUGCAAGGCAGUGACUACAUUAUCGGAUUAUUCCAUGUAUUGGUUAUGAAAGCCUUAGGCACGGAUUUUUAUGGUUAUUUCUACUUGCCGGCUAUCAAGACGAGGGGUGGCAUCUUGGUUGCUUGGAUUAGUCGCGCAGUUUGGAUGAGCAACGUCCACUUAUCGGACAAUUGUGUGACGUUUCUGGUCUCCCCCUCCGUUGAAGACUAUUGGUUGUUGGACAAGGUCGCUUUCCUCGAUGAGAUGCGAGAUGUCCUACUAGGCCACUAG
RNAcentral lists this ribosomal RNA (324 nucleotides) under Triticum aestivum (bread wheat). RNAcentral's name for it is "partial small subunit ribosomal RNA". The record is from RNAcentral. Lineage: Eukaryota; Viridiplantae; Streptophyta; Magnoliopsida; Poales; Poaceae.